Drosophila nasuta is the source of this 7839-nucleotide RNA transcript. It is a transcript of the gene named serine/threonine-protein kinase nemo, with no coding region annotated. The record is from RefSeq and is a predicted model, not a curated record. Lineage: Eukaryota; Metazoa; Arthropoda; Insecta; Diptera; Drosophilidae. The transcript has 9 exons.
UGUUGUUGUCAGUCCUAUCACGACUUUCGCAUAAACGACACGCAUGUUAUCGGGAAAAAGACGCCGCGUGUGUUUGAUGCAAAAGGCAAAGGAAAAAAGUUAAUGCAUGCAUAUUUAUCCGCUGUGUGUAUUGCAAAAGCAAUUUCAAUUUUUUGCUACCUAAAUCCAAACUACUUACAAAAGGUAGUGUGAUAACGCAAGAUAAUGCAAUAGAAAAUUUAGAGUUCCAUUCUCUCAGCAAAACGUGACAAAUGCACAACAAAUAAAGAAAAUAUUAUUCAAUUCAAAUUGAUUGCCGUCGGUCUCGCUCUCUUUUCUGUGUGUGUCGUUGCCCGUCGUCUGUGUGUUGAAAUCAAUGUGUGUGUGCGUUAAUAAACCACAAAUAACAACAACAAAUUCGUGAGAUUUUACUGCAUUUUAGUCGUAGUCGCAGUCGCAGUACGCGUCGCGUUUUAGUUAGCUUCGAAUUUUAUUUGUACAAUUUCGUAUAUUGUUGUUGUGUUGCUUGUCUGUCUUUCGAGCCGCGCCGUUUGUCGCUGCCGUCGUCGUCGUCGCCGCCACCGACGCUACUGCACACACACAUACACACACUCGCAAACACAAGCAUACACGCACGCACUCAUACAUACAAAUGCGGAAGAGUCGCCGCAGUUAUUGAAAUCAGCUCCCCACCAACAACAAUAAGCCGCUGCUUCUCAAUAAUUGUGCAUUUCUAUAAGCCACAGCAGCAACAAACGCAACAACUGCAAGAAAAUCUCGCAAGCAAAAUUAAUUAAAAUAAGUGCAUAAAAUCGGAAAACGGAAAUCGCAACGAAUUCUAGAAAUUCCGGAAAUAUUCGUAUUUUAAAUGUGUUAAACUGCAAGAAAAUCAAAACAACAAAAUUAAGAAAUUCAAAUGGGCAACUAUUGAAUGGCGGCCAUUAGUGGCCCCAAGCGGCAUCCAUUGAGCAAUCAACACCAUUUCUCCCAUCCAAACAUCAGCACUACCAUCUCCACCAAUACCAAGAUCAAAACCAAUAUCAACAACACCACCACCAACAACAACAAUUGCAACACCACCACAACUAGCACUAACAAUAGCAACAGCAACAGCAACAAUAAGCAGCAAAGGCCUUUUAGCUAUCAAACGCAAGCUAAUCCCCUCCAGCACAACAACAACAACUCCUCCAAUUGCAACAACAGUAGCAGCAACAGCUGCCCAAAUUCUUCAGCUGCUGCGCCGCGUAGCUCAAUGAGCGUAUCGAUGUCACUGGUACAGGGUGGUGCUGCCGGUGGUGCGCCACAGGGCGCUAGCGCAAUAUUGGCCGCUGCGGCUCCAUAUUAUCAGCCGCCAGCUGUGCCCCAGGAUGUGCAACCGGAUCGUCCAAUUGGCUACGGUGCCUUCGGAGUUGUAUGGGCUGUCACAGAUCCACGCGAUGGUCGCCGCGUCGCACUCAAAAAGCUGCCAAAUGUGUUCCAAUCUUUGGUCUCAUCCAAGCGCGUUUUCCGCGAGCUCAAAAUGCUCUGCUUUUUCAAGCAUGAAAAUGUGCUGUCAGCUUUGGACAUUUUACAGCCACCACACUUGGACUUCUUUCAAGAAAUCUAUGUGAUAACGGAGCUGCUGCAGUCGGAUCUGCACAAGAUCAUCGUGUCGCCACAACAUCUAUCCGCCGAUCACAUCAAGGUCUUUCUCUAUCAGAUACUGCGUGGUCUCAAGUAUCUGCACUCGGCUCGGAUUCUCCAUCGCGAUAUUAAGCCUGGCAAUCUGCUCGUCAACUCUAAUUGUGUCCUCAAGAUAUGCGACUUUGGCCUGGCACGUGUCGAGGAGCCCGAUCAGGCCAAGAGCAUGACCCAAGAGGUGGUCACACAAUACUAUCGCGCACCUGAGAUUCUCAUGGGCGCCAGUCAUUAUUCGUCCGCCGUGGAUGUGUGGUCGGUGGGCUGCAUCUUUGGCGAGCUGUUGGGCAGACGCAUCUUGUUCCAGGCACAGAAUCCGGUGCAGCAGUUGGAGCUCAUCACCGAGCUGCUGGGCACACCGACCAUGGAGGAUAUGCGCCAUGCGUGCGAGGGAGCACGCAGACACAUGUUGAGGCGGGCGCCCAAGCCGCCGUCGUUCUCGGUGCUCUACACACUCAGCUCGCAUGCCACACACGAGGCUGUUCACUUGCUCUGCCAGAUGCUUGUCUUCGAUCCGGAUAAGCGCAUUUCGGUGACGGAUGCCUUGGCGCAUCCGUAUCUGGAUGAGGGUCGACUGCGCUAUCAUUCGUGCAUGUGCAAAUGCUGCUUCACUACCUCGGCUGGCAUGCGUCAGUAUACGGCGGACUUUGAGCCAUCGGCCGGACAGCCCUUUGAUGAUUUAUGGGAACGCAAGCUUCCCUCAGUGCAGCAGGUGAAGGAGGAAAUGCACAAAUUCAUUGCCGAGCAGCUGCAAACGGGACGAGUGCCACUGUGCAUCAAUCCGCAGAGUGCGGCAUUCAAGAGCUUUGCCAGCCAAUGAGAAUGAGAAUAUCUACUACUACUACUCGUACUACCACUACUACUACUACCACAACUUGCACUGCUGCUCCUGCCGCUGCCGCUGCUGUUGCCGCUGCUGCCGCUGUCGCUGCUGCUGCUGCCAACCUCUGCCGUUGUCGUUGUCAUUGUCGCUGCCACUGCUGUUGAAGAACAAAAGAAAUACAUGAAAGAGAGUGUACUAGGCGCGAACCAAUAACAUACAUACCGUAUAUAUCGAAAAUAUACCAAAAUAUUGGUAUAUACCAACAUAACGUAUAUAUCAAAAAUAUACCAAAUAUUGAUAUAUACCGACCGACAUAGUAUAAAGUCAAGAGCGAUGAAGUCACAAACAAACAUAAAAAGAGAACUGCUGAAACAGAAAUCGAUAUCGAUUCAGAAAAACAAAAAGGCAGUAUGAACAAUAUACCAAUACCUACCAUAAAAUACCAUAUACCAUAUACCAAUAUCUCAAUCAGAUCGAUCUAGUUGAAUCGAAUCGAAUGUGGGGGAAUCGCGGCAGCAGCAACUCGAAACUUCUCCCAAAGAGGCGCGAUCUUGAAAAACUUUUAGUUCCACUGUGGCACAUCCCUCGGAGCUGCCGCCAUCGCCGCAUCAAUGGGAAUGACGGCAAAAUGAGGCGAUUGCUGCCUAAAAUAUGAAAAGCAACACAGCAACAACAGCAACAUGAACAAUUUUUGACAACACACCUGGAAAAUUGAAAUAUUGGAAGUGAAACAGGAACUUCGCGCCAACUACCAAAACUCACUCAAAAACAAACUAAACAAAAAAAAUUCGAAAAACAAAAACACACAACUUUAGAAACUUAAGCGACGCAUUCUGCGAAUGGCAAAAAUGCUAUUCACAGAAGAAGGAGAAGGAGUAAAAGCAGAAGAAGAAGCAGAAGUAGUAGCAGUCGAAGCAGCAGAUGAAAGGAAGAAACAACGGUUAAAUUGAGAGCGCCGAACAAAUUGUGUUUUUUCGUGCGCAGUCAAUUUAAAAGUUAAAGCAUUCCACCACCGAAAUGAAUAAAUGAAACGAACUAAAAUGCAACAAAACAAACAAACACAAAAUACACACACAACGUAACGUAACUCAACUGAAACUAGUCUAAAAAUAUAUAAAAACGAAGGAAAAAGGAAAACGCAGUGGCAGAGACAACAAAUUCGAUGAUAAACUACAAAAAUUAAUGGAACAUAAACAACAACAAAAAACAAACUACGCAUACAAAUUGUGGAAGGCGUAUUACACAAAAAAACAAAAACUAUUUGGCAACAAAGCAGCUAAUUUGUUGUGCUUGACAAAAUUGGUAAAAACGGAAAACACAAAAAACAAACGAAGUAGAGGAUAGAGGAUAGAAAAGAAAAAAGAGAAGGAGAAGAGUUAAGAGCAACUAUUACUAAACAAUGAAAUUUUUGGUCUAAAUAAGCAAAUUACAAAAAUGUUUUAUGUUAAGCGCUUUAAAUCUAUGUAAAUUAAUUAGCAACUAGACUAAACAUCCCCCCAAAAACAAACAAACAAAACAUUUGCCACUCUCCACCAACCCCAAAAAAAAACUGACGUCAUGUUCGUGUGUGAAUAUUGUAAUAAACAAAACACAAAACAAAACAUAAACUACAACUAUAAAACUAUAAAUUCUAAUUACAAUUAAAAAGUGUGUAACAAAUACAAAUACACUCACACACACGUACAGAAAUUUGUUUGCCAAAUUUACCUCACACACAAAUACACACACACAGACACACACUCACUUUAGAGUAACACAAGAAUUUUGAUUUAACAAAACUCUACUAUAGGAAAAACUCUCAAUGUGUAGUGAAAAACUGUCAACUCUUUAGAAAUUUGUGCAAAUUAACAAAAGCGAAUGCAAAAAGCUAAAUUAAAUUCAUUUCAACACACGUAUAUAUUUAUAUUGUAUUUGCGCUUCAUGUUUGAAACUGGUUUCUCUAACUAUGUGUAAAAAAAGGGAGCAGAGAAAAAUAUAUAUAUAACUAAAUUACAAAUAUAUAUGAAUAUUACGAAUAUAUAUAAAUAUUAACUCUAUAUUUGUGUGCAAAAGAAAUGUAUGUGUGUCAGUGUCUAUUUCUCUGUCUCUGUAUGUAAAAUAGAAAAAAACAAAACAAAACAAAACAAGGCAACAAAUAUGAAAAGAGUUUAGUUAAAAGUUAUGGGAAACAAACAAACUAUCGAAAACAAAACAAAACAAAACAUUUUAACUGUGGACUGAUUAUAAAGCAUAAUUCAAGCAAUUAUGCAAUUAACCAAUUUAAUUUGUACUAAUUCUAAUUCUAAUUCUUAGUUAAUGACAAUUUAUGAAUAUUAUUAUUAUGAUUACGAUUACUAUGAUUACAAUUAGGUUUUAGUUGCUUAGUUCUUAGCACACGCACAUUUCAACUUGAACUUAUUGUACAAUAUGUUUCUCGUAUAAAUUGCGAAUGGUAGUUAAAGAAUAAAACACAAAAAAAGAAACCAACAACAAGUGGACGACACACUGCCCCCCAGUGAAUGUGCACAGGCGCUCAGCAGUUGCAAUGGACACCACAGCAGCACUCACCACCAGCACCACCGCAUUUCACCACCGCACCACACCACACCACACACAACAACAACAUUCGCAGCGAGUGGGGCAACCACAACAACAACAGUCACAGCCAAAUCUCAUUCGAAACUUUUUAUUCACACUGCCUUUUUCUCUGUGCGCGUGCGUGAUUGUGCAUGUUUGAGCGCGUGCGUGCGUGUUUGUGCGUGUCUAUCAACGACGCCGUGCUAUUUCAAUUAGUUUUUACAUACUCUGCAUUAUUUUAAAGUGUAAUAUAGUUUAAUUUCCUUCCUUCCUUCCACCUCACUUUCUACUCUCCCCACACUCGACAUAAUUUCUACAACUUUUUCUUCUUUUUUAAGUAGCAACAAAUGCUCAUGCCAACUAAACGCUAUAGCAAAAAAAAAGAAAUAUGAACAUUCAUCGUUCGUUUAGAUUCAAGCUACAAAAUAUAUAGGAUAUAUACAUAUGUAUGUUUAAGACUGAGUUAUCUCAUUUCCUUAUAAAAGAGAUGGUUGACAAGCGCGCCCAUGCAAUAAAAAAAAAGAAUAAGAAAAUGAAAAUCGAAAUCGAAAUUGGAUAAAUCAAUGUUGAAGAAUUGAAGUUGAAAUUUAAAUUUGAAUUCGUAUUGCUUAAAUUAUGUAUUAAUGUAGCAAACUAUAUAUGAACAUAUAUAUAUAUAUACAAAUAUUACAAUAUACAUGUGUAUAAAUCUAUAUGUGUGCGUAUUUGUAUUUAAUGUCUUUGAUCAUUCAAAGUUUAGAAAAAAACAAAAAGAGAAAAACACACUCGAAAAAUUUGUAGAAUUUGUGCGCUCACUUUAAAAACUAUUUCCACCCAAUUCUUCAACUCUCUUUAACUGUGCUGCUUUCUUAUGUAUGUAGUUUUACAUCAUUAUAUAACUAUAUCGAUAUAUAUGAUCUAUACUUGAGAUAUACUUAUAUAUAUGGCAUUAACUAAUUUAGCGUACGCUUACGAUGAUGAUAAAGAGAAAGAUAGAACGCGAGAAGUAAAGAAACAAAAUAAAAAAAUAAAUAAAUAUGAAUUCAAACUUUCACGGAGAUCUCAUAGCAAAAACAAAAACAAAAAAGGAAAAACGAAAAUUAUGCUGAAAAGCAAAAGGAAAUCAACAGCUUAGACACGACCGGGAAAUUGUGUGAAAAUGAGAGGAAAAUACAUAGUUGAAAAUCCCGUCCUUUGGUUGUAAGCGAUUUCUUUUCGAUUUUUUAACAUAGCCUUUUGUUUAGAAAUAUAACGAUUUUUUUUGUCUUAUAUACAACACAAAUAUGUAGACUACAAAUCUUUGUCACACACACUUACAUACACACACACACUCUGAAAUAUAUAAAUACCUUUAGUUAUUAAAAAAUUCUUACUUGAAUCGAGGAAACGAGUAGAAGAAGAAGAAGAAAGGCAAGAAAUACAAUGCAAAAUUAUCAUCUUCAUUAGAGAUUAAGAAGAACAACACAUUUUACAUACAUACAUCAUUUAUUAAACAAAUUAUGUAAUGAAUAACGACAUCGGACUUAUGUAGGCACCAUGUACAUAACAUUAACACCCCACCAAUACUUAUAUGAUAUAAUAUAACACCCAUACACUUAAUUCUUAAGCGGCAACUAGUUUUUUUUAGUGUUUAGUUCUACAAGUUUAAACGAAAGCGAAACGAAAUCAACUAAUAUAAUUAAUACUAUACGAUACGAUUAUUAUUAUUACGAUUAUGAUUAUGAUUAUGAUUAUUAUAUAUCAUCAUGUGCUCUAUUUCGAAUCAUGAUGUUGACAUGUACAUUUUUGCACUCCUUUCAAUUCAAAUCCCGACAACCACACACAACACACACAUUAAAAUUUAAAUAUAUAUAGAUAUAGAAUCUUAAUUUGUCUAUUUUAAUACUUGGAUUUCAUAGCUUAUGUUUCAAUAAGUUCGAAAAUAUAUGUUUAACUGUUAGUUGACUAAGUAAACUGCAUUAGUAUUUUGACCUAAACCAAUUGUGGAGCAGUACUAAAUAUAUAUAUAUAUAUAUAUAUAUAUAAUUAUAUAGUAGAACCUACAUAAUAUUAUAUAUACGAGUUAACGUUUUCAUAAUGGCUGCAGACGAAGAAUGAGAAGCGAGAUGAAAAAGAGAGAGAAAUAAAAUUGUGUAAAACUGUUUGUAUAAAAAAAGCGACAACAUUUUUGUUUUAUUCUUUGAAUUUUACCAUUUCUUAACAACUCUUAAAACACAAAACUUUCCUUCGAAAUUUUGGAGGCGAGGGAAAUUGUUUCCGAAGACCGUCUAGUAAAAAACCACAGACCCAAUGCAUUUGCAAUUAGAAUUUAUAGCUAUAAAUACAUGUAUGCAUUUUUUUUUUGUGUUAUUUGUCAAGAAUUAGCACUACUAAAAUAUACGAUAUAUACUUAUAUUUAUAAAUAUAUGUGUAUGUAUGGACAAUAUUGCAAAAGAACGAAAAUAAAACAAACUCGAAACAGAUUAUUCCAAAUACAGGUAUCUAAAAAACACAUUUGAAAUGUAUGUCCUUUGGAUCGAAGGCAGCUUUUGAAUAUCUCUCAGAAUAAUAAGUAUUAUAUAUAUAAUAUUGAACUCGAUUAUAAAACGACAUUUGUGCCAGAAUUAACCAAAAAUAAAGACAACAACUUCUUGGCGGACAUUAAACAAAUAAUAGUAAAAAUAAUAAAUGUUUUCUUAACAGAGAAUAAAUUGCGCUCAGGUUAUAAAAAAAAAGAAACAGAAUAUGUAAAGAAUAAAAAUCGACAUUACUUAAAUGUAAAACAAUUAAUUCAAAAUAUAAAAAAAAAACCAAAAACAUAUUGCAUACAACAUACAUAACUAAAU